Molecule: ribosomal RNA, 454 nt
Filed under: Plesionika quasigrandis
Lineage: Eukaryota; Metazoa; Arthropoda; Malacostraca; Decapoda; Pandalidae
Description: 12S ribosomal RNA
Source: RNAcentral
GGGUGAAAUCUGGUUCCAGGACAGGGGUUGCGCAGUCUUGUAAGAGGUUUUUAGGCUAUUAAAAUUUAGAUCUAAAAUAGGAUUAGAUACCCUGUUAUACUAAAUUUAAAGUAAUUUGCUUGAGUAGUAAUCAGUUAUAUUCUUGAAACUUAAAGGAUUUGGCGGUAUCUUAGUCUUGUUAGAGGAAUCUGUUCUGUAAACGAUAAACCACGAAGGAUCUUACUUUUUUUUGUAGUUCAGUUUGUAUACCGCCAUUAUUAGGUAAUAUUUAUAAAGUUUACUGAAGUUGUUAAUAGCUAAUAUAUUAGGUCAAGGUGCAGCUGAUGGGAAAGUGGGUAAUGGAUUACAAUGGGUCGUGUAUAAACGGAUAAAUAAAAGUAUUUUUAUUUUGAAGGUGGAUUUAAUAGUAAUGCUUGUUUAAUAAGCAAGCUUGAUAGGGGCUCUAAGGUAUGUA